CGCCCUUAUAGACCCAGGGAAGGGCGAGUCUUAAAGGUGCCGCGCCUAACGGAAGGCAGGACCGUGGGAAUCUAGGAGAAUCCCUCCCUCUGCCCCAAAAGAAGAGAUUCAGAGCCAGGAGCGGGUGAAGAUAUGCGGAAAGAAUGGCAAGAGGGCUCGGUGAAGAAAGGACUGCAGUGUGUGGCAUCACACUCCCUUCCCCCCAACCACACACACCCACACUCACGGGGGCAUGGAUCACACACACAGCCCUCACACCUAAACCAAGAGAGGCGGCGGCAUAGUAUGGAAGUGAACACGGUGACUACGGACGGCCCUAGCUGUCAAGCCCCUGAUUCCCAUAAUUAUAAUCUUGCUCCAGGGACCGGUUGGAGCCGAGAGCUGUGUGACCUUGAAUAAGUCGCUUCUUUUUUCUCAAUCUUAAUUUUCUUAUCUGCAAAAGAGGAGGGCAAGAGUAGACCUCCCGCAAGUACACCUCCUCUCCUCUUCCCCCAAACACCUCUCCAUCUCGACUGGGUCACAAGAACUCUGGCCCAACCAAACCCUUCAGCGCCCCACAAGCACCCUUCCACCAAAAGGGCAGCGGCUCUUGGAUCUUCCAAGAGCCAAGUAGGGGGCGCCCAGGAGCACCCCUCCAUGCUAGAGGACUCUCAGACUCAAGCUUCUCCCUCCUGGCCCAGGCUGGAGGAGCCUGGAAAGCUUGCGUUCUUGUUCCAGUGGGGCAGAUCUGAAUCACUCUCCAUCUGCAGAGACCCCAAUCCCCAACACAGUCACGAGCCCCUCUCCAAGCCCCCCAGCCUGCUGCUCCGUUUGGGAGGAUCGUGCCCCCACCUCCAGCAGUCUACUGGAGUGGGGGUGGGGCGAAAGCGGAAUCACUAAAGAACAACCUCCCCUCCCCGUUCCCGUCAGAGAAGUGGCCACAAGUGCCCCCACAGGACUUCCCACUGGAAAGGGAAGUGCCACACUCCCAGGCCUCCAUCCCAGUGAGGAGACUCAGCUUGAUCCGGCUGGCAGAGCUCUCAAACCCACCGGUCCGACGACCCCGCUUUACAGACGAGGAACCAGAGACGAGGAGUGUACACAGACCGGGAGCGGACACUGGGUUUUGUCCACGGUCGCAGUGGUUACAAAGCCGGGUCUAGAAUUGAGCAAUACCCACCAAGACUCUAUGGAGGCUUCUUUGAAGAAAAAUAAAUAAGCCAGGAUACAGACACACACCCCACCACCUUCAAGAGGAAGAAUGUAGGUCAGCAUCUUUGCCACUACUCUAUGUGAAACAGCCUAUGAUCUUGGCAAAAACUAGUAACCACAAGCCCAUCCCAUCCCACUAAAAAUCCCACCACCUUCCCAUAGCUCUCAGCUUCAGUAAGAAAAGCCAGCAAGAAAAGGACUUUCUUCCUCCUUUCAAUCUGCUCCCCGGCUGUUUGAAUUACACUUAAGACUUCACUGACAAACAUACAUCAGCUUUUGCUCCCACAAGGGCAGCGGAAGCCAAGCAGGGACUCUAAGUCUGCUUCACGCAUCAUUGACAGAACCAACCCUGUUCCAAUUGCUGAAGUCUUAAGAGCAGCAAUGACCUAGAAAUUGACAGUGGGGGGAGAACUGAAGGAAAGGAAACUGACAAACCAGUACACAGAAAACCCUAUUUCCAAAUACCAGGGGAAAGAGAGAGAAAGGAGGUAGAGGGGAAAGAGAUUUGGCCCCUUUGAAUCUGCAAAUGUGAUCUUGGCUCAGAGCCAUGGAGGAUACACAGCAGCCCCAUUGCGAGUCAAGCCAUGUUCCUGACUCAAACCCUACAGUUAAGAGGAAGGCGCCAAGCCUCAAACACAACGAGGUGGGGAGGCCGCUCCUUUUUGGGCAGGAUCCUACUGUGGACACAGAACAGACAGCAGCUGCCCACAGUGUGGAAACAAACUGUAAAGCAGUCACGUCUCUUAAGGCUGCAGCAUCCA
RNAcentral lists this long non-coding RNA (1952 nucleotides) under Equus asinus (donkey). Its description in RNAcentral is "lncRNA (ENSEASG00005031453.1)". Lineage: Eukaryota; Metazoa; Chordata; Mammalia; Perissodactyla; Equidae. The record is from RNAcentral.